GUAUCGAUGGUUACGCCACUUUGAAAGGUUUCCUCAUUCUUUUCUAAAUGGACUUUGUCAACACAGAAAAGUAUUUUAAAUAAUAUACUAGCUCUGGCACUUGCUAUCACAGCACAUUUUAUUUUCUGUGAAUUACUGUUUCAGGCAAAACAGGAAGAAGACAACGACAAGGUGCUGGGCUCAGAGCUCUUCUUCAGGCCCUACCACUUCACCUCUGUGCAGAAGGAGUCUGUGCUGUUCACCACACGCCAAAGGGACGUCGUCACUAGUGAACUGAGACGGGAAUUACCUAGUCUUCUGUCAGCUAACUUCCACGCUACUCCAGGAGGUUUCCCUGUUCUCCAAGGAACGGGACCCGAGGAAGACCUCCAAUUUAGAUUCUCUCUCUGCAUAAUGCCUGGCUGUGGGUCUCUGUACCCUCUCGCGUUUGUUGCUGGAGAAAAGCCUCUCUGAUGAUAACAGGACAAGUUUCCAAAAAUCGAGGCUGGAAUGAUGAACAAAGAGAGCACUGGCAAGCCAAUCAUGCCAGCUGGGAUAACCUUCAGGCU
Long non-coding RNA from Alexandromys fortis (reed vole), 548 nucleotides. RefSeq lists it as uncharacterized. The transcript is spliced from 3 exons. The record is from RefSeq and is a predicted model, not a curated record. Lineage: Eukaryota; Metazoa; Chordata; Mammalia; Rodentia; Cricetidae.